Molecule: ribosomal RNA, 1394 nt
Filed under: Escherichia coli 3-373-03_S1_C3
Lineage: Bacteria; Pseudomonadati; Pseudomonadota; Gammaproteobacteria; Enterobacterales; Enterobacteriaceae
Description: bacterial SSU rRNA
Rfam family: Bacterial small subunit ribosomal RNA
Source: RNAcentral
CUGAUGGAGGGGGAUAACUACUGGAAACGGUAGCUAAUACCGCAUAACGUCGCAAGACCAAAGAGGGGGACCUUCGGGCCUCUUGCCAUCGGAUGUGCCCAGAUGGGAUUAGCUUGUUGGUGGGGUAACGGCUCACCAAGGCGACGAUCCCUAGCUGGUCUGAGAGGAUGACCAGCCACACUGGAACUGAGACACGGUCCAGACUCCUACGGGAGGCAGCAGUGGGGAAUAUUGCACAAUGGGCGCAAGCCUGAUGCAGCCAUGCCGCGUGUAUGAAGAAGGCCUUCGGGUUGUAAAGUACUUUCAGCGGGGAGGAAGGGAGUAAAGUUAAUACCUUUGCUCAUUGACGUUACCCGCAGAAGAAGCACCGGCUAACUCCGUGCCAGCAGCCGCGGUAAUACGGAGGGUGCAAGCGUUAAUCGGAAUUACUGGGUGUAAAGCGCACGCAGGCGGUUUGUUAAGUCAGAUGUGAAAUCCCCGGGCUCAACCUGGGAACUGCAUCUGAUACUGGCAAGCUUGAGUCUCGUAGAGGGGGGUAGAAUUCCAGGUGUAGCGGUGAAAUGCGUAGAGAUCUGGAGGAAUACCGGUGGCGAAGGCGGCCCCCUGGACGAAGACUGACGCUCAGGUGCGAAAGCGUGGGGAGCAAACAGGAUUAGAUACCCUGGUAGUCCACGCCGUAAACGAUGUCGACUUGGAGGUUGUGCCCUUGAGGCGUGGCUUCCGGAGCUAACGCGUUAAGUCGACCGCCUGGGGAGUACGGCCGCAAGGUUAAAACUCAAAUGAAUUGACGGGGGCCCGCACAAGCGGUGGAGCAUGUGGUUUAAUUCGAUGCAACGCGAAGAACCUUACCUGGUCUUGACAUCCACAGAACUUUCCAGAGAUGGAUUGGUGCCUUCGGGAACUGUGAGACAGGUGCUGCAUGGCUGUCGUCAGCUCGUGUUGUGAAAUGUUGGGUUAAGUCCAGCAACGAGCGCAACCCUUAUCCUUUGUUGCCAGCGGUCCGGCCGGGAACUCAAAGGAGACUGCCAGUGAUAAACUGGAGGAAGGGGGGGAUGACGUCAAGUCAUCAUGGCCCUUACGACCAGGGCUACACACGUGCUACAAUGGCGCAUACAAAGAGAAGCGACCUCGCGAGAGCAAGCGGACCUCAUAAAGUGCGUCGUAGUCCGGAUUGGAGUCUGCAACUCGACUCCAUGAAGUCGGAAUCGCUAGUAAUCGUGGAUCAGAAUGCCACGGUGAAUACGUUCCCGGGCCUUGUACACACCGCCCGUCACACCAUGGGAGUGGGUUGCAAAAGAAGUAGGUAGCUUAACCUUCGGGAGGGCGCUUACCACUUUGUGAUUCAUGACUGGGGUGAAGUCGUAACAAGGUAACCGUAGGGGAACCUGCGGUUG